UGCAGAUCUGGUUGAUUCUGCCAGAGGUUACUGCUAUCGAGAUUCGACUAAGCCAUGCGAGUUGAAUGUUCUUCGUGAACAUGGCGGACUGCUCAGUAACACGUGGACAACCUACCCUUGGGUCCGGCAUAAUCCUGGGAAACUGGGAAUAAUUCCGGAUAGGUCACCGAUGCUGGAAUGCGCGGUGGCCGAAAGCUCCGGCGCCCGAGGAUGGGUCUGCGGCCUAUCAGGGUUGUAGUGGGUGUAACGUACCUACUAGCCUACGACGGGUACGGGUUGUGAGAGCAAGAGCCCGGAGAUGGAUUCUGAGACACGAAUCCAGGCCCUACGGGGUGCAGCAGGCGCGAAAACUUUACAAUGCGGGAAACCGUGAUAAGGGGAUCUCGAGUGCCAGCAUAUAAUGUUGGCUGUCCAGAUGCCUAAAAAGCAUCUGUUAGCAAGGGCCGGGCAAGACCGGUGCCAGCCGCCGCGGUAACACCGGCGGCCCGAGUGGUAACCGCUAUUAUUGGGUCUAAAGGGUCUGUAGCCGGCCAGGUAAGUCCCUUGGGAAAUCUGGCAGCUCAACUGUCAGGCUGCUAGGGGAUACUGUUUGGCUUGGGACCGGGAGAGGUGAGAGGUACCUUGGGGGUAGGGGUGAAAUCUUGUGAUCCUCGAGGGACCACCAGUGGCGAAGGCGUCUCACCAGAACGGGUCCGACGGUAAGGGACGAAAGCUAGGGGCACGAACCGGAUUAGAUAUCCGGGUAGUCCUAGCCGUAAACGAUGCUCGCUAGGUGUCAGUCACGGUGCGACCGUGAUUGGUGCCGUAGGGAA
RNAcentral lists this ribosomal RNA (812 nucleotides) under uncultured archaeon. Its description in RNAcentral is "bacterial SSU rRNA". It matches the Rfam family "Archaeal small subunit ribosomal RNA", at positions 1 to 810 of the family's 1478-position model. The record is from RNAcentral.